CCUACGGGUGGCAGCAGUGAGGAAUAUUGGUCAAUGGGCGCGAGCCUGAACCAGCCAAGUAGCGUGAAGGAUGACUGCCCUACGGGUUGUAAACUUCUUUUAUAAAGGAAUAAAGUGAGGCACGUGUGCCUUUUUGUAUGUACUUUAUGAAUAAGGAUCGGCUAACUCCGUGCCAGCAGCCGCGGUACUACGGAGGAUCCGAGCGUUAUCCGGAUUUAGUGGGUUUAAAGGGAACGUAGAUGGGUUGUUAAGUCAGUUGUUAAAGUUUGCGGCUCAACCGUAAAAUUGCAAUUGAUACUGGCAGUCUUUAUUACAGUUGAUGUAGGCUGCAUUCGUGGUGUAGCGGUUCACUGCUUAGAUAUCACGA
This 367-nucleotide ribosomal RNA is filed under the name uncultured bacterium. RNAcentral's name for it is "partial 16S ribosomal RNA". It matches the Rfam family "Bacterial small subunit ribosomal RNA", at positions 338 to 702 of the family's 1533-position model. The record is from RNAcentral.